CCUACGGGAGGCUGCAGUGGGGAAUAUUGCACAAUGGGGGAAACCCUGAUGCAGCGACGCCGCGUGAGUGUAGCAGUAUUUCGGUCUGUAAAGCUCUAUCAGCCGGGAAGAAAUAGCGACCUUUGGGUCGCCAGACGGUAACUGAUUAAGAAGCCACGGCUAAAUACGUGCCAGCCGCCGCGGUAAUUCGUAGGGGGCAAGCGUUAUCCGGAUUUACUGGGGUUAAAGGGAUCUUAGACGGCAGCGCAAGACUGAAGUGAAAUGCCGGGGCUUAACCCCGGAACUGCUUUGGAAACUGUGCAGCGAGAGUGCAGGAGAGGUAAGUGGAAUUCCUAGUGUAGCGGUGAAAUGCGUAGAUAUUAGGAGGAACACCAGUGGCGAAGGCGGCUUACUGGACUGUAACUGACGUUGAGGCUCGAAAGCGUGGGGAGCAAACAGGAUUAGAUACCCCGGUAGUC
RNAcentral lists this ribosomal RNA (458 nucleotides) under uncultured bacterium. Its description in RNAcentral is "partial 16S ribosomal RNA". It matches the Rfam family "Bacterial small subunit ribosomal RNA", at positions 338 to 795 of the family's 1533-position model. The record is from RNAcentral.